CCUACGGGUGGCAGCAGUGAGGAAUAUUGGUCAAUGGCCGCAGGGCUGAACCAGCCAAGUCGCGUGAGGGAUGACGGUCCUAUGGAUUGUAAACCUCUUUUGUCAGGGAGCAAAGGGCGCCACGUGUGGCGUUUUGCGAGUACCUGAAGAAAAAGCAUCGGCUAACUCCGUGCCAGCAGCCGCGGUAAUACGGAGGAUGCGAGCGUUAUCCGGAUUUAUUGGGUUUAAAGGGUGCGCAGGCGGAAUGUCAAGUCAGCGGUAAAAUUUCGGGGCUCAACCCUGUCGAGCCGUCGGAACUGGCAGUCUUGAGUGGGCGAGAAGUAUGCGGAAUGCGUGGUGUAGCGGUGAAAUGCAUAGAUAUCACGCAGAACGCCGAUUGCGAAGGCAGCAUACCGGCGCCCGACUGACGCUGAGGCACGAAAGCGUGGGGAUCGAACAGGAUUAGAUACCCUUGUAGUC
Molecule: ribosomal RNA, 459 nt
Filed under: uncultured bacterium
Lineage: Bacteria
Description: partial 16S ribosomal RNA
Rfam family: Bacterial small subunit ribosomal RNA
Source: RNAcentral